RNAcentral lists this ribosomal RNA (344 nucleotides) under uncultured bacterium. RNAcentral describes it as "bacterial SSU rRNA". It matches the Rfam family "Bacterial small subunit ribosomal RNA", at positions 28 to 391 of the family's 1533-position model. The record is from RNAcentral.
GACGAACGCUGGCGGCGUGCCUAAUGCAUGCAAGUCGCACGCGCGGAGCUUGCUCCGUGAGUGGCGCACGGCUGAGGAUCACGUGGGAACAUGCCUCCUUGUGGGGGACAACAGCGCGAAAGCGCUGCUAAUCCCGCAUACGCUCGGCAACGAGGAAAGCUUGUAAAAGCGCAGGGAGAGUGGCCCGCGGCCCAUCAGGUGGUGGUGGGGUAAUGGCCUACCAAGCCGAUGACGGGUAGCUGGCCUGUGAGGACAGCCAGCCAGACUGGGACUGAGACACGGCCCAGACUCCUACGGGAGGCAGCAGCAAGGAAUUUUCGUCAAUGGGCGCAAGCCUGAACGAG